CCCUUAGAUGUUCUGGGCCGCACGCGCGCUACACUGACGGAGUCAACGAGUUGUCCUGCAUCGGAAGGUGUGGGUAAUCUUUUGAAACUUCGUCGUGCUGGGGAUAGAUCUUUGCAAUUUUCGAUCUUGAACGAGGAAUUCCUAGUAAGCGUGAUUCAUCACAUCACGAUGAAUACGUCCCUGCCCUUUGUACACACCGCCCGUCGCUCCUACCGAUCGAAGAGUUAGGUGAAUUGUUUUGAUCGAUAAGAUUUGACUAUGGUCAACUCUCGUUGUGAAAUUCUGUGAAUCUGACUGUUUAGAGGAAGGAAAAGUCGUAACA
This 322-nucleotide ribosomal RNA is filed under the name uncultured eukaryote. Its description in RNAcentral is "partial 18S ribosomal RNA". It matches the Rfam family "Eukaryotic small subunit ribosomal RNA", at positions 1470 to 1796 of the family's 1831-position model. The record is from RNAcentral.